This 253-nucleotide ribosomal RNA is filed under the name uncultured bacterium. Its description in RNAcentral is "partial 16S ribosomal RNA". It matches the Rfam family "Bacterial small subunit ribosomal RNA", at positions 524 to 776 of the family's 1533-position model. The record is from RNAcentral.
UACGAAGGUGGCAAGCGUUGUUCGGAUUUACUGGGCGUACAGGGAGCGUAGGCGGUUGGAUAAGCCCUCCGUGAAAUCUCCAGGCUUAACCUGGAAAGUGCAGAGGGGACUGUUCAGCUAGAGGAUGGGAGAGGAGCGCGGAAUUCCCGGUGUAGAGGUGAAAUUCGUAGAUAUCGGGAGGAAUACCAGUGGCGAAGGCGGCGACCUGGGCCAAUACUGACGCUGAGGUGCGAAAGCGUGGGGAGCAAACAGG